This 253-nucleotide ribosomal RNA is filed under the name uncultured bacterium. RNAcentral's name for it is "partial 16S ribosomal RNA". It matches the Rfam family "Bacterial small subunit ribosomal RNA", at positions 524 to 776 of the family's 1533-position model. The record is from RNAcentral. RNAcentral also lists the same sequence under 1 other name.
UACGAAGGGGGCUAGCGUUGUUCGGAAUUACUGGGCGUAAAGCGCACGUAGGCGGAUAUUUAAGUCAGGGGUGAAAUCCCGGAGCUCAACUCCGGAACUGCCUUUGAUACUGGGUAUCUCGAGUAUGGAAGAGGUGAGUGGAAUUCCGAGUGUAGAGGUGAAAUUCGUAGAUAUUCGGAGGAACACCAGUGGCGAAGGCGGCUCACUGGUCCAUUACUGACGCUGAGGUGCGAAAGCGUGGGGAGCAAACAGG